ACUAACUAGGAUUCCUUCAGUAGCUGCGAGCGAACAGGGAAGAGCCCAGCACCGAAUCCCGCGGYYGACAUCGGGCGCCGGGAAAUGUGGUGUUAGGGAGGAUCCGUCUAUCCCGAGGUCGGCGGGCGCGUCCAAGUCCUUCUUGAACGGGGCCACAGCCCACAGAGGGUGCCAGGCCCGUAGCGACCGCCGCCGAUCGCGGGAGGAUCUCUCCUCAGAGUCGGGUUGCUUGAGAGUGCAGCCCUAAGCGGGUGGUAAACUCCAUCUAAGGCUAAAUACGACCACGAGACCGAUAGCGAACAAGUACCGUGAGGGAAAGUUGAAAAGCACUUUGAAGAGAGAGUUCAAGAGUACGUGAAACCGUUCAGGGGUAAACCUGAGAAACCCGAAAGGUCGAAAGGGGAAAUUCAUUCGCGUCUCGGCGAUCGAGGCGAGACGUUCGCGCGACGGACGGCGUACGCGUCGUCCGAGCCUUACGUUUCGAGACUCGGCGCCGAACGCGUGCACUUUUCCCCUAGUAGGACGUCGCGAUCCGUCGGGCGUCGGUUUAAGGCCCGCGCAGGAGACCGGGAGCACGUCUUCGCGGACGUUUCGCUUCCGGACGCGCGGCGGCCCGGCCGACGCGCUCGACGGUAUACAGAUGGCGCGGGGCCGCUACAACUCUUCAGUUAGCGUUCGGCCCGCGGCAAGCGCGUUCGGUGUCUCGGCGGCGAUCGGACCCGGUGCCGGUUCCGUCCCCGAACGACUGUUGGCCGCGGUGUUCUCGAACAGACCCCGUCGAUCUCGAAACGCCGAUCUGCGACGCUAUAGCUUUGGGUACUUUCAGGACCCGUCUUGAAACACGGACCAAGGAGUCUAGCAUGUGCGCGAGUCAUUGGGACAUAACUAAACCUAAAGGCGCAAUGAAAGUGAAGGUCCGCCUCGCGCGGACCGAGGGAGGAUGGACGGUCCGCGCUUUCGCGCGCGGCCGCCCCGCACUCCCGGGGCGUCUCGUUCUCAUCGCGAGAAGAGGCGCACCAAGAGCGUACACGCUGGGACCCGAAAGAUGGUGAACUAUGCCUGGUCAGGACGAAGUCAGGGGAAACCCUGAUGGAGGUCCGUAGCGAUUCUGACGUGCAAAUCGAUCGUCGGAACUGGGUAUAGGGGCGAAAGACUAAUCGAACCAUCUAGUAGCUGGUUCCCUCCGAAGUUUCCCUCAGGAUAGCUGGCGCUCGUCGCGCACGAGUUUCAUCCGGUAAAGCGAAUGAUUAGAGGCAUUGGGGUCGAAACGACCUCAACCUAUUCUCAAACUUUAAAUGGGUGAGAUCUCCGGCUUGCUCGAACUAUAUUUUAUGAAGCCGCGAGAGACACGAAUCAGAGUGCC
This 1363-nucleotide ribosomal RNA is filed under the name Tetraopes linsleyi. RNAcentral describes it as "partial large subunit ribosomal RNA". The record is from RNAcentral. Lineage: Eukaryota; Metazoa; Arthropoda; Insecta; Coleoptera; Cerambycidae.